RNAcentral lists this ribosomal RNA (253 nucleotides) under uncultured bacterium. Its description in RNAcentral is "partial 16S ribosomal RNA". It matches the Rfam family "Bacterial small subunit ribosomal RNA", at positions 524 to 776 of the family's 1533-position model. The record is from RNAcentral.
UACGGAGGGUGCGAGCGUUGUCCGGAAUCAUUGGGCGUAAAGGGCGCGUAGGUGGCCCGGUCAGCGUGCGGUGAAAGCUCGGGGCUCAACCCCGAGUCGGCCGUGCGAACUGCUGGGCUCGAGCACUGUAGAGGCAGGCGGAAUUCCGGGUGUAGCGGUGGAAUGCGUAGAGAUCCGGAAGAACACCGGUGGCGAAGGCGGCCUGCUGGGCAGUGGCUGACACUGAGGCGCGACAGCGUGGGGAGCGAACGGG